AUUCAACUGACGAGUCCCAAAUAAGACGAAACACGUGUCCCAGAU
This 45-nucleotide non-coding RNA is filed under the name Schistosoma margrebowiei. The record is from RNAcentral. Lineage: Eukaryota; Metazoa; Platyhelminthes; Trematoda; Strigeidida; Schistosomatidae.